This 253-nucleotide ribosomal RNA is filed under the name uncultured bacterium. RNAcentral's name for it is "partial 16S ribosomal RNA". It matches the Rfam family "Bacterial small subunit ribosomal RNA", at positions 524 to 776 of the family's 1533-position model. The record is from RNAcentral.
UACGGGGGGGGCAAGCGUUGUUCGGAAUUACUGGGCGUAAAGCGCGCGUAGGCGGUUUGUUAAGUCAGCUGUGAAAGCCCCGGGCUCAACCUGGGAACUGCAGUUGAUACUGGCCGACUGGAGUACGAGAGAGGGAGGUAGAAUUCCUGGUGUAGCGGUGAAAUGCGCAGAUAUCAGGAGGAACACCGAUGGCGAAGGCAGGUCUCUGGGCCAAUAUUGACGCUGAGGAGCGAAAGCCAGGGGAGCAAACGGG